This 433-nucleotide ribosomal RNA is filed under the name uncultured bacterium. Its description in RNAcentral is "partial 16S ribosomal RNA". It matches the Rfam family "Bacterial small subunit ribosomal RNA", at positions 29 to 507 of the family's 1533-position model. The record is from RNAcentral.
AGCGAACGCUGGCGGCAGGCCUAACACAUGCAAGUCGAACGAACUCUUCGGAGUUAGUGGCGGACGGGUGAGUAACACGUGGGAACGUGCCUUUUGGUUCGGAGUAACUCAGGGAAACUUGUGCUAAUACCGAAUGUGCCCUUCGGGGGAAAGAUUUAUCGCCAUUAGAGCGGCCCGCGUCUGAUUAGCUAGUUGGUGAGGUAACGGCUCACCAAGGCGACGAUCAGUAGCUGGUCUGAGAGGAUGACCAGCCACACUGGGACUGAGACACGGCCCAGACUCCUACGGGAGGCAGCAGUGGGGAAUCUUGCGCAAUGGGCGAAAGCCUGACGCAGCCAUGCCGCGUGAAUGAUGAAGGUCUUAGGAUUGUAAAAUUCUUUCACCGGGGACGAUAAUGACGGUACCCGGAGAAGAAGCCCCGGCUAACUUCGUG